GAUGAACGCUGGCGGCGUGCCUAAUACAUGCAAGUCGAGCGAACAGACGAGGAGCUUGCUCCUCUGACGUUAGCGGCGGACGGGUGAGUAACACGUGGAUAACCUACCUAUAAGACUGGGGUAACUUCGGGAAACCGGAGCUAAUACCGGAUAAUAUAUUGAACCGCAUGGUUCAAUAGUGAAAGACGGUUUUGCUGUCACUUAUAGAUGGAUCCGCGCCGCAUUAGCUAGUUGGUAAGGUAACGGCUUACCAAGGCAACGAUGCGUAGCCGAUCUGAGAGGGUGAUCGGCCACACUGGAACUGAGACACGGUCCAGACUCCUACGGGAGGCAGCAGUAGGGAAUCUUCCGCAAUGGGCGAAAGCUUGACGGAGCAACGCCGCGUGAGUGAUGAGGGUCUUCGGAUCGUAAAACUCUGUUAUUAGGGAAGAACAAAUGUGUAAGUAACUAUGCACGUCUUGACGGUACCUAAUCAGAAAGCCACGGCUAACUACGUG
RNAcentral lists this ribosomal RNA (497 nucleotides) under uncultured bacterium. RNAcentral describes it as "partial 16S ribosomal RNA". It matches the Rfam family "Bacterial small subunit ribosomal RNA", at positions 28 to 507 of the family's 1533-position model. The record is from RNAcentral.